Molecule: long non-coding RNA, 330 nt
Organism: Oncorhynchus tshawytscha (Chinook salmon)
Lineage: Eukaryota; Metazoa; Chordata; Actinopteri; Salmoniformes; Salmonidae
Source: Ensembl
UUAUGUAAAAAAUCCAGUGUUUCUAUUUGAAACGUUGUUGUUAUAUUACACUCUAAUGUGAUAUAAAGUGUAAUAUUGGAAUGAAACUGACAUGGUACAUGUGUCUUAUAUUUAGACAGUCAAAUAGUGAUGGAUAUCUCAGAAAAAACGAUGCAGAGGAAAUAUAUGACAUUUUAAAUGCGGUCCUCCGGACCAGGUUGAAGAUCAAAUGCGGCCCACUUGGCAAAAUGAGUGUGACACCCCUGAUCUAGACUGUUAGAGAGGUUACUACCCUCACUGUUCCCCAUGCUACUUCCUCAAACAGAGGUUACUACCCUCACUGAUCCUAAU